UCAGGAAUGUUACUGGUCAAGGUGUAAGCAAUGGACUUCUUCAGGUUAUCGAAGAUUAGACGACCUGGGACAAGGAAAGAGAGGACUAACUCUAGCUUAU
This is a non-coding RNA of Tinamus guttatus (white-throated tinamou), 100 nucleotides long. The record is from RefSeq and is a predicted model, not a curated record. NCBI's taxonomy places the organism in Eukaryota, Metazoa, Chordata, Aves, Tinamiformes, Tinamidae.